UCAUUUUACCCAUCCGCUGCCCCUAGAUCCUGUUGAACCUUCUCAUAUCCUAACAAAUCCUAGUUUCCGCCAAGAUUGUCUCUGAAUCCAAUCUAUUCAUGGAUUCAUACAUUUCUUUUCUUACCUUUUUGGGGUUAUAUUUUUGUUACUUGCAUAAAUAUGGUAUUACUUAGUACUUGCCCCUAUUUUAGCAAGAACAAAUCUCCCAAAUCAAGAUAGAUUGGACAUGCUCAAUCACAUUUGGAGGAUAUUUUGUUUAUAUACGUCUAUGGCAAGAUUAUACGAGUCUGAUUACAUGUGAUCUUCAGCAAAACUAUGAUUCCGAUCAAACUAUGAUUUGCCCAGUAUUCUCUUAAAUUGAUCUUGUGAUCUUGCAUGUUUCUCUUCCUGAUUUAUGUUCGAUUGACUGUAUUUCCUUAUUUUGUUAGUUGAUUUUUACUACUAUAUAAACCCCUCCCCUAAUCCCCUUUAACAGAACAGUCAUUGAAAUAGUUACUAUUAUGUUCUCUCCCUCAUUCAUUCUACUUUUAUGAAAUUUAAGACCUUGUAUGGUUGAAAGCCAAGGCCAUCAGAAUACGAUUGUUGCUCCUUUUUCAAUAUGAGUGUUGCUUGGGGUUAUUUAGCCCUUGGGAACUCUGACGCACUGAGAUUUUGGGAGCCUUGAUGUUCACUCCUUAAUAUCGGUAAUAGAGUCUAUUGGACUUAGUUUUCUUCUUUGAUAAUUUUGCAACUGAUGAGUACCUUGACUCUUGUAAUUCUAUUUUUCUUUAAUUGUGACCAUCUUCUAAAUAUCUAUGUUUGUUUGAUUUUUUUAAACCAAUAUGACUUAAAUGUGGUGUUACCUUUGUUUGCAAUCCUAUCCGUUUUGAAGUUAGUCUAUGGUUCUGCAUUUUCUAGCAUCUUAAACUGCCUAAAUCCUAGAUUUAGACAUUUGAUUUCUAUGUGUAACUUGGGCGAUCUUGAACUUGCUUAUUCUAUUAUAUUAAUGCAUACAUGAGUUUACUAUAUUUUUUGCUCGCCUAUAUUCAUGCCUUGCUUUGAAUUCUUGUAUUAAAACUCCAAGAUUCUAAUUCAUGCCCAAAGUUUGUCCGAUUGUACUUCUCAACACUAAUCCAUUCAUGCAUAACUUACUACUUUCUCACUUUUUUAAAAUGAUCAUGUCUAUAUGGAUUGUGAACUCUUUAGAAAAACACGCUACUCUGCAAUUUGUGAACCCCAAUCCUUACUACAGUUGCAUGUUUAACUAUCAUCUUGUUCUAUAGACCCAUGCCUUCUAGUGCUAGGUUUGCUCGAGUUCAAUGCCUAUGUAACCUUUGAUGUUCAUAAAUGAACCUGCUAUAUGUGAUCAGUUUGAGCUAAGCACUUGCUUACACAUUAUUUGUGGUGCUGAGUUUGUGAUACUGUUGACCCUGAGUUUCUUUAAUAAGUGUACUUAUUAACACUCCUAUAUUCCUUAACUUCGCCUAAAAUUAUUAGUUAUGUCAUGCCUUUCAUUCUUGUGUUACUCUUGGGAAGACUAUUGAGGUAUUUGUCCCAAGAGGUGUAUCCUGAGCAUAGCAUUGUCACUUGCAAAUCUUCCUAGAAGAAAUUCAUGUCCUUGAUUGCCUUGAACUCUCAUGCUUAGAUCCUUUGUUUUAUGGAUUCUUGUUUGCCAUAUUCCUGCAACUUAUCAUGUGUAUCUUAUGGAAAAUUUUUGUUUGCUAAUUUGAAAGCCUUAUACACAUGCUUAUUUUAUGUGAUUAUGAAGUCCAUGUUCCUGUGUGCUCUUUUUCUUCAUAGGCAUCAUCCUUAGUAUGACACUUAGAAAAUCUUCAUGCUGAUGAAUUUGAUAACUGGAACCCCUGUGCAUGUGCCCUUUGCUGAACUAUGAGUCAACUGAAUGAUAUAUUUGACUUUAUGUCCCCCAUUCCUAUUGUUAUUGGGUCCUAUCUUCAUGUUUGGGUCCUGUCUUAUUGGUCCAUGUGUGAUAUUGGAGUUAAGCAUUGGUUAGACGUGCUUGUGAGACUGGUAUUGGGCCUAUUGGAUAUGCAAGGGUAAGACCAGUGAAGGUCCUGAAGGCACUGCUGGAUGAUUUUGUAAUUGAGCUGGACAUGUAAUUUUUGUAUUUGGCCGAAAAUUACCCUAUUAAAUCUAUAAUCAUUUUAUUAUUCAAUUUUGGGCCUGUAAUAAUCCAUAACAAUGAAUGAUGGGGUAUUUAAUGGAAAAGGGUUUGGAACGCUUUAUGUUUCGGAUGAAUGGGUAGAUAAUAUGCUUAUAGGGUCUACAUGCUUGUUUGCUUGCUUUUUUUAUGUGCUUGUUUCUAUUCUCUAAUAGAGAUUAUCCCUAUAGGAAUUCCAACACAUCUCCUACUCAACUUGUCUAAUGCCCACACAUUAGUAGAAGCAUGCGUUGUUGGUGCUUUACUUGUUCGCAUAUUUGAUUUUAUGCAUAGUUAGAUAACACGCCUAUAGGAAUCAAGCAUCAGUAACUAUUCGCUCAAUUUGUAGAGCAUAUGUGUGCUUAUUAGAUAGCAUGCCUAUAGGAUCAUAUUGAUUUAUGCUUUUCUAAUACUCAUCUAGAUGCUAUGUAGAUGCCAUGUCUGUAGGGCUUUAAUUGAUUAAGUAAUUGACUACUUCUGUUGUAUUAUAUGUUGUAUUAUAACUCUGCACACCUAGAUAACAUGCCUAUAGGAAUAAGCACAAUAAAGAUGUGUUCAAAACCCAACUCUAUAUAGGCGAAAUUGGGAAGCCUACUUUCACGAUCAUGGAAUCUCUCCCUUAGCCUCAAAAAAGCCCCGAAGGUCCACCGUUGCGGCUUGAGGCUUCGACCUCAAAGAUUAUUCACACUCGGCUUCGAUGCAACAUGAGUCGAUGAGUAUCAAGGGUAAGCGAGAAGUUCCCUAGGAACUUAGUCUGAACUAACAUCACCUGCAGAAACUGUACAAGUAUGCACCUUGUUACUAGGUAGUUGUGCUAGCUAUCUUACUUUG
This 2968-nucleotide long non-coding RNA is filed under the name Nicotiana benthamiana. Its description in RNAcentral is "long non-coding RNA (NBEN_LNC007521)". The record is from RNAcentral. Lineage: Eukaryota; Viridiplantae; Streptophyta; Magnoliopsida; Solanales; Solanaceae.